GCCUUCCUGGCUCAGCAGAGCGUCUGCCUAGGAAGCAGAAGGUCGUGAGUUUGAUUCUCACGGAAGGCA
Molecule: non-coding RNA, 69 nt
Organism: Quaeritorhiza haematococci
Lineage: Eukaryota; Fungi; Chytridiomycota; Chytridiomycetes; Quaeritorhizaceae
Source: the annotation of a GenBank genome assembly